Long non-coding RNA from Engraulis encrasicolus (European anchovy), 864 nucleotides. RefSeq lists it as uncharacterized. NCBI's taxonomy places the organism in Eukaryota, Metazoa, Chordata, Actinopteri, Clupeiformes, Engraulidae. The transcript is spliced from 7 exons. The record is from RefSeq and is a predicted model, not a curated record.
AGACCGUCUCUGGUUAAAUUAGUUCUACACCAAGCCUUUAGGUGGCAGUAAAACGAAUUGGCACAAUGCGAAUUCCACACACAAGCCACAAAGAAGCCAUCAGCCGCGGUCAACAGCACCUUCCUGAUUGAACAGAACCACGCGUUGUCUGUGUGGUUUACAAGUUUCUUGGCGAUAUGGGGGGAAAGUUCCUCACAUACCAACGGAAAAUGGGCUUCAUAUACAUGCUGCUGUCUCAUAAUAUGGCGAAGACGAGUCACCUGAAGGCCUAACUCGCCAUAGAAGACUGAAAGAAUUGUCCUGCAGGAUGCUGUGUCCUGCAAUCCUGUGUGCUGUGCUACAGACGCGUGUGGAGGUCAACCCAAAAUGGGCACAGUCUCACCACAGAAGAGUGAAAGAGGAUCCUGGCAGGGAGACGGUAGUGUCCUGCAGAAUGGUGAUGGGCCAAUCUUACAAGAGACCACAGAAAACUGAUAUAGUGAACUAUAGAAACAACAGUGCCUGCUGCAGUAUAACGAGGACACCCUGAGCAGAGAGCUCCAAUAGACCCAGGUCCAGUGUCUUGGCAGGGUGAAAUGGCACUGAUAUGGUGUCCUGCAGGAUGCUGUGUCCUGCAAUCCUGUGUGCUGUGCUACAGACGCGUGUGGAGGUCAACCCAAAAUGGGCACAGUCUCACCACAGAAGAGUGAAAGAGGCUCCCAGAAGUGAGACUGAGUGCCUGUUGCAGUAUGACGAGGACGCAGUGACCAGAGACCUUCAGUAGACCCUGCUGGCAUGAUUGGCGUCUGAAGAACAUGAAAUCAACAGCAAUGUUUAUAAUGUUGUACAUACCUGUAUAGUCUGUAUUAAAAGGCAGUACCUGUA